This 461-nucleotide unclassified non-coding RNA is filed under the name Hevea brasiliensis (rubber tree). The record is from RNAcentral. Lineage: Eukaryota; Viridiplantae; Streptophyta; Magnoliopsida; Malpighiales; Euphorbiaceae.
UCCAGAUUCACUGAAUCCCAAGCCACCUCCACUCGUGGUGGCCAAUGAACCUCUCAUCCGCCGCCUGCCAUGAGAUGCCAUUAAAACCCUUUCUCCUCCUCCGCCCCGCCUUCUCGCCCUUCUCCAAGCGCUGCCGCCGGAGCCUCGCCGGAACGCCGCCCAUGGCCUCCAUCUCCCCCGUCGUCCCCGCCGAGGAGGGAUCGAGAGCGAUCGAGCAGUCCGCACCUCGUCCGCUGCAGGUAGCAAAGCGUCUGGAGAAGUUCAAAACCACCAUCUUCACUCAGAUGAGCAUGCUUGCUGUCAAACACGGGGCAAUAAAUCUUGGUCAGGGGUUCCCGAACUUUGAUGGACCCGAGUUCGUCAAAGCAGCAGCCAUUCAAGCAAUCAAAGAUGGCAAAAACCAAUAUGCUAGGGGCUAUGGUGUUCCUGAUCUCAAUUCCGCUAUAGCUGCCAGGUUCAAG